Molecule: ribosomal RNA, 585 nt
Filed under: uncultured bacterium
Lineage: Bacteria
Description: partial 16S ribosomal RNA
Rfam family: Bacterial small subunit ribosomal RNA
Source: RNAcentral
UGGGGAAUUUUGGACAAUGGGCGCAAGCCUGAUCCAGCCAUGCCGCGUGCGGGAAGAAGGCCUUCGGGUUGUAAACCGCUUUUGUCAGGGAAGAAAUCUUCUGAGUUAAUACCUCGGGAGGAUGACGGUACCUGAAGAAUAAGCACCGGCUAACUACGUGCCAGCAGCCGCGGUAAUACGUAGGGUGCAAGCGUUAAUCGGAAUUACUGGGCGUAAAGCGUGCGCAGGCGGUUUUGUAAGACAGAGGUGAAAUCCCCGGGCUCAACCUGGGAACUGCCUUUGUGACUGCAAGGCUUGAGUGCGGCAGAGGGGGGAUGGAAUUCCGCGUGUAGCAGUGAAAUGCGUAGAUAUGCGGAGGAACACCGAUGGCGAAGGCAAUCCCCUGGGCCUGCACUGACGCUCAUGCACGAAAGCGUGGGGAGCAAAACAGGAUUAGAUACCCUGGUAGUCCACGCCCUAAAACGAUGUCAACUGGUUGUUGGGAAGGUUCCUUCUCAGUAACGUAGCUAACGCGUGAAGUUGACCGCCUGGGGAGUACGGCCGCAAGGUUGAAACUUAAAUGAAUUGGCGGGGUCAUAGCUGUUU